RNAcentral lists this long non-coding RNA (340 nucleotides) under Citrus sinensis (sweet orange). RNAcentral's name for it is "long non-coding RNA (CSIN_LNC003811)". Lineage: Eukaryota; Viridiplantae; Streptophyta; Magnoliopsida; Sapindales; Rutaceae. The record is from RNAcentral.
GGAGGAUUGUGUUCUCGUUCGGAGUGAAUAUUUGGUCAAGCAUCUUUGAGUGUGCUCUGAAUUGAUCGGUAUGGCCUUCUACGGCAACCUUGUAAAGAGAAUCCAUCAACUCGAAAUUCUUUUCUCGGACACUUAGUAGUCCUGCCCGUCGUGUCUCAGCAUUCUGGUUAUCAGAACCUGAAAGUGACGACGACAUUUUGCUGGUGAUGUGAUGUGGUCCCCCAAAUAGAAAUGGGAAGGAAGUGUUUGUGAAAGAUAGGAUUUUCUUUUCUUUUUUCCGUUUCCAAAAUGGAGAUGGCUAUUGGCUACGGUGCUGCUAAGUGCGCUUACCAAUUUAUAG